UAUAUAAGGAAAUAUGAAUACAGAGAAAAGUAGUAUAAAUGACUAAUUCGUAUUUUGGGGCUGGGGCUUUUUUUACUAGGAACUUUUGAUAAGAAACUGGUCAGCCAUUCUGAGAGUGGUGGAAAGCCUGUCAAGGUCACUGCCAAGGACAAGAGAGUCAAUUAGUAUGCAGAUCAGAGCCAAGGAGUUCAAAGGUGUGAUGGCAGAUUAAAUCCAUGACAGGAAACAGUGAUAAUGCCCACUGUAGAGCCAUGUGGUGUAAAGGUCCCUAAGAAUGGUACAACUGAAAUGGGAGGAUGAAGAAAUGUAUUGGCUAUGACAAGAAGAAGUAAUUGCUUUUCCUCAAAGGAUCAGAUGUGGUAUAGUUGUUUGAAAAACAAUCUAAACAACAUUUUGUUCACCAUUGAUUUUAAAAGCAUUAAAAUUAGUUUUUAUGCAGCUAUACUCAUUAAGCUUUUAUGUAUACUGUGUAGGGUGAAUAGUUAAGAAGCAAUAAAGCAUUCUGCAGUAAAAUAUACUUUGCCAGUUGUCAGAAGAAAUAAAAUACAUAGAUUGGGAAUGUUUGUUUCCUGUGGAAUAUUGCGAUAUUUGCCGUGUUAAUUACAAUCCAAAUAAAGCCAUUUUAUUUGUGUAUUUUAAACAGCCCUGUAGCUGUAGAUGGCUAAUACAACUGUUAUUGAAAGUGUUGUGUUUGGGGGUAGUGUGUUCAUACUGAUGAGAAACAAUCAUCAGCUACAUAUAUCCCAACAAUUCUUGCAUUCUAAAAAUAAAUCUUCUCUUAGAAUUGGUGUUCCAAAGUCUAAUUGUAAAUUUUAGCCUCAAAAACCAAAUGAAAGUUCCAUGCUGUGCAAUUUUCUUCUCUUUAGUUCCUCAUGUCAGUAUCUGCAUUCAUACACAAACUAGUUCCCCUAAUUUCACUGAAGUAGUUAACAAUUUAUUAGAAAAGGAAAUAGUCUGGAAAACAGCAACAGUCUAGUGCCCAAGGAAAGGAAACCUAUUUGGUUGUUACUUGGAAGAGAAUAACCAUUUAUUUUGUUUCUCAAAAACAAGAGAGGAGUAUGUGUACAGUACAACAACAUGCCAUCAGAGAGAAUAAUGCAUAUAAAAAUGAAUUCCUGUUAUUGUGUUCAGGUGUGUUUGUGAAUA
This is a long non-coding RNA of Cyanistes caeruleus (blue tit), 1146 nucleotides long. RefSeq lists it as uncharacterized. Lineage: Eukaryota; Metazoa; Chordata; Aves; Passeriformes; Paridae. The record is from RefSeq and is a predicted model, not a curated record.